UACGUAGGGUGCGGGCGUUAAUCGGAAUUACUGGGCGUAAAGCGUGCGCAGGCGGCCUCUUAAGUCAGAUGUGAAAUCCCCGGGCUCAACCCGGGAACUGCGUCCGAGACUGAAAGGCUUGAAUCCGGGAGAGGGAUGUGGAAUUCCAGGUGUAGCGGUGAAAUGCGUAGAUAUCUGGAGGAACAUCGGUGGCGAAGGCGGCAUCCUGGACCGGUAUUGACGCUGAGGCGCGAAAGCCAGGGGAGCAAACGGG
RNAcentral lists this ribosomal RNA (253 nucleotides) under uncultured bacterium. Its description in RNAcentral is "partial 16S ribosomal RNA". It matches the Rfam family "Bacterial small subunit ribosomal RNA", at positions 524 to 776 of the family's 1533-position model. The record is from RNAcentral.